This is a long non-coding RNA of Lotus japonicus, 2859 nucleotides long. RefSeq lists it as uncharacterized. NCBI's taxonomy places the organism in Eukaryota, Viridiplantae, Streptophyta, Magnoliopsida, Fabales, Fabaceae. The transcript has 6 exons. The record is from RefSeq and is a predicted model, not a curated record.
GUUGCAACGCUGCUUCAGAUUUGCUGCUCAUUUUUCUUCCACUAUUUUGCUCUUAUGGGUUUCUCAUUCUUCAACGCUUCAGGUUUCUCAGUCCGUUCAUAUCUUCCGCUACCUUUUACUUCCCCCUUAACCUAGCAGCGCCGCUACUCACAUGAGAGAGAUUUGAACUCUACGAUCUGGGGUGGUGCCCCGUGGUGACCUGAGGCCAAGCUCCUUCACAACCUGAGAUGGAUCCUUCUGCAAAGCGAUUCAAACCACGGAGGUUGCAGGGUAUGGUGAGAGGAACACACAGAGGCUGGGAGCUCUGAUCUUCAAUCCUCAGGGCGCAGGCUGCGAUCCUCAAUCUUCAAUCCAGUCCAUUUUGUUCGUGCUUUGAGUAGAAGGGGAUGCUGCCUUCAAAUAUCAAAGAAACAUCCAAAGAAUCAAGGCGCAGAGAUGUGAGCAUUUCCUAUAUACAUGUGUGUGUUCCCCCUUUGCUAUUGCAGAAUUCUGGGCGUAUGGGAUCCAGGUAAGCACUACUCCUAACAGAAUUAUUAAUUUCAUGUAAAUGUUCCAUAUAAAUUUGAUAAAUGAUAACAAGGUGUUAUUUACAUAUGCAUACCCCUGUGUCAUGUGGUUAGCAAUCAGGCCAACACUCUUAGAAUGAUUUUGUGUUUUUACAGUUGAGUUUUUUAUUUGAGUUUUUAGUUUUUUUCUUUUUUUUUAUAAUUUUGGACAUGAGAAAGUUAGGGUCUGUGGCUAAGUUGUGUUACAUUGCAUCUUGAUGUUCAUUCGAGAGAACUGGUGAAGGGGCAGAGGCUUAGUGAGCGUGGGGAAAUUAUUCUCUUCUAUAAGGCUGAACCUAAAACAGAUGAAGUAUAUGAUCAGACAACUUUGCUUCCUGAAGCAGAUGUGAGUGCGCUCUGACUUCUGCCAUUGGAUUGAUUGGCGCAUCGAUUGAGGAACUACACCCGAGAGCUAAGAAUCAUAAUAUUGUUUCUGCAACCACAACUUUUCUUUUUGCAGAUAUUAUGUCUGCAAUUGAUCUCAUCCCUUUGUUGCUUCAAUAUUCUAUAAAUGCUUCUCCUGGAUGUUCCCAGUUGCAUUGUUUUGGAUUCUCUUUGAUUCUACAUGCUUGGAUGAUCAAGUAGCCAAUUAAGGUUUGAAUCUUAUCUUGGUGUCUUCAAUCCAUACCAUAUUUUUCAACAGUGAUGUAAUUAGAGUAAAUGAAACUCCUAUACUUUAUCCCUUUUUUCCUCAUUAUGCUUGCACAUGCUCUUGACUUGCUUUUUGCUAUGAUUCCUAAAUUCGUUAAUUUGCUUUCAGAAAAUGUUACUAUACAACAUACAAUAUGGUCUUAGUAGAGAGUGGAAUGGAGGAAUGUGCUACCCUGAAUUUAUGAGUUGUAUCACUACCAAGAAUGGUUAUUUAUUUUCAAGUUAGAGGGAAGAAAAUAGGAAUCACAUAGCCAUGUUGUUGGAUUUUUAUUUUGUUUUUGACAUUCAUAUUAAGCAUAUGCAUGAUGCAUCUGAAUUUUAACAUAGUGAUAAAGCUAAUGAAUGAAAGAUUAAAAAAGCACAUGAUAGUAGCUUCUUGGUUUUGAUUGAAUAUGUUUAUGUUUAUUUUUAUUUUCGUAAUUCCAAGAAUCAAGUCUCAAAUCUAAAUGCUAACUGUUGCAAGGUUUUGGAUUCUCUAAUUCUGCAUGCUUGGUAGAAUGAGUAGGAAAUUAAGGUGGUGAAUCUUAUCUUGGAGUCUUAAAUUGAUAUCACAACCAGCUAUAUUUUUCAACAAUGUGAUUCAAGUGUAUCAUCUUAUCCGAACUAAAGACAGAUGUUCUCAGGAAUGAAAAAAGUAGGAGUAACGAAGAAGAUAAAUGAGAAUGUAUAUGAGAAUUCUUACUAAAUGUACAAGUUGCUGCAUUGUUGUCUCCCACCAAGGUAUGAAUCGUCUGUCUUUUUACUUUUUUCACCUUUGUUAUUUCUUUCCUCUUUCACUCCCAUUCCAUGUUAAUGUUUUUUUUUUUUUGCCUUCUUUGAAGUUUUAUUUUUCUGCCUAUGCAUUCCCAAGACUAUUCACAAGUACAAUGCUUAUAAGGAUGUUGGUCUUUCUACUUACUGAUUAUAUGAAUUAGAAUUAUGUGAGCAGAGAGAGAAGGCUGGGACAGAAAAAUGCUAAAAUGAGUUAUUUUAGAUUGCAAGAACGUCAAUCUUUCCAGAACAAGAAAGUAAAGUUCUCAGCCAGCAGAGGCAACAUCAAAGUGAAGGACAAGAAAGUAGUGGACAGAAAGAUUCAUAUGCUAAUCAACCUCUGAUCAAUUGUAUCAAGUGAAAUGCAUUUAGAAACUGUACAGGUUAUUGUUGUUGAUUCUCAAGAGGAUGAUAGUACGGAUAAUUGAAGCGCAUAAGCUUUGUUGAGUUCAACACUACAGGUUUUGGUUAAAAUCUGAUGGCUAGAAUGGUAUAUGUGGAGGGAGAAGGAUUAUGGAAAAAUUGUCAAGGCAUGGCACUGCCCAUUAAGGUUAUCCAAAGGCCUAUGUCACUUGAUUUAGGAGUGCAAUUCUCUAGCAGCCCUGAUGAGCCAGCCACUGAGGGAGCUGUGAUCAAGUCUUCAAGAAUUGGUGCUUUUGAAAACAUACCAAAGAAUUUGGAUCAAAGAUGAUGGCUAAGACAGUAGGUAGAGAAUCAUAAUGUAAUUACACCAUUGAGUGUUGUUAGGCUACCGAAGUCAUGACUCAUGAGGACUAGGCUCCAAAAGUUAAUUUAGAUUUCUCUGUUUUUUGCUCCUUUCUAAUUGUAUAUUGGCCUAAGAUUAUGAUUCACCUUUGUAGUUUAGCUUUAGCACGCAUUUUCUAACAAUGGAAUUCACUAUGUUAAAAUGUUA